Molecule: ribosomal RNA, 214 nt
Filed under: uncultured bacterium
Lineage: Bacteria
Description: partial 16S ribosomal RNA
Rfam family: Bacterial small subunit ribosomal RNA
Source: RNAcentral
UACGAAGGGGGCUAGCGUUGCUCGGAAUCACUGGGCGUAAAGGGUGCGUAGGCGGGUCUUUAAGUCAGGGGUGAAAUCCUGGAGCUCAACUCCAGAACUGCCUUUGAUACUGAGGAUCUUGAGUUCGGGAGAGGUGAAUGGACUGCGAGUGUAGAGGUGAAAUUCGUAGAUAUUCGCAAGAACACCAGUGGCGAAGGCGCCCUGCUGGGCGGGA